AACCUCCGCAAUGUGAGAAAUCGCGACGGGGGGAUCCCAAGUGCCAUUCUUAACGGGAUGGCUUUUCAUUAGUGUAAAGAGCUUUUGGAAUAAGAGCUGGGCAAGACCGGUGCCGGCCGCCGCGGUAACACCGGCAGCUCUAGUGGUAACAAUUUUUAUUGGGCCUAAAGCGUCCGUAGCCGGUUUAAUAAGUCUCUGGUGAAAUCCUGUAGCUUAACUGUGGGAAUUGCUGGAGAUACUAUUAGACUUGAGACCGGGAGAGGUUAGAGGUACUCCCAGGGUAGAGGUGAAAUUCUGUAAUCCUGGGAGGACCGCCUGUUGCGAAGGCGUCUAACUGGAACGGUUCUGACGGUGAGGGACGAAAGUUAGGGGCGCGAACCGGAUUAGAUACCCGGGUAGUCCUAACUGUAAACGAUGCGGACUUGGUGUUGGGGUGGCUUUGAGCUGCUCCAGUGCCGAAGGGAAGCUGUUAAGUCCGCCGCCUGGGAAGUACGGUCGCAAGACUGAAACUUAAAGGAAUU
This 521-nucleotide ribosomal RNA is filed under the name uncultured bacterium. RNAcentral's name for it is "bacterial SSU rRNA". It matches the Rfam family "Archaeal small subunit ribosomal RNA", at positions 345 to 866 of the family's 1478-position model. The record is from RNAcentral.